UGUGAGUAAGGGGCACAGCCAGUGCAAUUUAGCGUAUGUGAUGAAAUCAGAGCGACUCACAGAGCCUUGCUUAUCCCCAGAGAGGGUCCUUCCCUCGGUGCAUGGCCCAUGGGACCACAUGCUGGGACAAACACAUGCAUUGAUGAAGGGAACCAGACAGGUGUGAUAGGCCCACUGUCUGAUGAGUACCUGAUUACCAUGGCUCCAGAUACCAAGCAGCUCCAGGGUUUGUGCUGUUUUCUUGCCUCUUCACACGCCCCCUGUUGUCAUGGUGUUCUGAGCAGCGAGGAGUCGAGACCAGGGGGACCAAGGUGGCGACAACAGCAGGGGCAUCAGGUCAGCUGACAGAGGCAAACAGA
Long non-coding RNA from Hypomesus transpacificus, 359 nucleotides. RefSeq lists it as uncharacterized. The transcript is spliced from 3 exons. Lineage: Eukaryota; Metazoa; Chordata; Actinopteri; Osmeriformes; Osmeridae. The record is from RefSeq and is a predicted model, not a curated record.